GAUGAACGCUGGCGGCGUGCCUAAUACAUGCAAGUCGAGCGAACAGAUGAGGAGCUUGCUCCUCUGACGUUAGCGGCGGGCGGGUGAGUAACACGUGGAUAACCUACCUAUAAGACUGGGAUAACUUCGGGAAACCGGAGCUAAUACCGGAUAAUAUAUUGAACCGCAUGGUUCAAUAGUGAAAGCCGGUUUUGCUGUCACUAAUAGAUGGAUCCGCGCCGCAUUAGCUAGUUGGUAAGGUAACGGCUUACCAAGGCAACGAUGCGUAGCCGACCUGAGAGGGUGAUCGGCCACACUGGAACUGAGACACGGUCCAGACUCCUACGGGAGGCAGCAGUAGGGAAUCUUCCGCAAUGGGCGAAAGCCUGACGGAGCAACGCCGCGUGAGUGAUGAAGGUCUUCGGAUCGUAAAACUCUGUUAGUAGGGAAGAACAAAUGUGUAAGUAACUAUGCACGUCUUGACGGUACCUAAUCAGAAAGCCACGGCUAACUACGUG
Molecule: ribosomal RNA, 497 nt
Filed under: uncultured bacterium
Lineage: Bacteria
Description: partial 16S ribosomal RNA
Rfam family: Bacterial small subunit ribosomal RNA
Source: RNAcentral